GUGGCGCACGAGGGGCUGAGGGUCGACCGCCGAGAUCCCAGCCCGGAAGGUGAGGGUUUGACGUCUGAGCGCCGGGUUCGGAACCCGGCGCGUCGCG
This 97-nucleotide transfer RNA is filed under the name Ralstonia condita. Its description in RNAcentral is "Ralstonia sp. LMG 7141 tRNA-Gly". Lineage: Bacteria; Pseudomonadati; Pseudomonadota; Betaproteobacteria; Burkholderiales; Burkholderiaceae. The record is from RNAcentral.